UGUCCCUCCCUUUUGGUGUCCCUCUAAUGGCUAUAAAAAAGCCUGGGUGCUAGGUGUCCGAUGCAUUCAAAUCAAGUUUUCAUUUUCCUCUCCAUUGCUCUCCUUUCUUUCUUACGAUCCAUCUUAGUUUUAGGACAAGGCUUUGGAAUUUAAGACAAAGCCUUAUCUGGUCCUAACAAGGGUUGGAAAGAUCCUAAAGAAGGAGAAUCAAAAGUUCAGAGAAGGUUCUAAGAGGGUCGAGUCAAAUUUUUAGAGAAAUCUGACCGAUACAGGGCUAAUCUAGUUCUAGGGCCUAGAACUCUUGAAGCAAGGUG
This 314-nucleotide long non-coding RNA is filed under the name Elaeis guineensis (African oil palm). Its description in RNAcentral is "long non-coding RNA (EGUI_LNC042640)". Lineage: Eukaryota; Viridiplantae; Streptophyta; Magnoliopsida; Arecales; Arecaceae. The record is from RNAcentral.